ACCUGCCCUCCCAGGCGUUGUCCCUCCGGUCCCAGAUGGGCCCACUGCCUUCUGCCACCCCAGCCUCAGGUGAGACUGAUCGGAGCAAGGUAUGGACUUGCUAGGUAUUAAAAAACAAACAAAAAAGGAACUACUUGGGGACUGCCCCAGCCCUGUACCUCCAGGAAGAAAGACAAUUGCCUGGCCUAGCUGAGACUUGACCUCCAGCGGGCCCUGCUCCCCACCCUCCCUCCCACCCCCUUUCUCUCCCUCUUCUGCAGGGCUGGAGGGCAACCCCAGGGCUGCUUCCCUCUGGAGUUUCUCUCUCCCUCAAGGAAUCUGAUUCACAAAAGUAAAAUUCUCACAGAAAACUCCAGAAUCCCUAGAAAGAAAUCCUUGGAACCCAGUGUGGGAAAUAUUACUCUCUCUGGGUAUUUUGUCUCUUUUUGAACAUCUCCUGAGCGUCUGCUCAUCUCCACAAGAAGUACAUGGAGGUGGGAAGGGGGGAGAUACCAGUGUAGCAUGUUCUUCCCGUAAUAAUAGAACUCUAGAGCUAGAAGAGAUUUCAGAGAUCAACUAAUGCAACCCCUCUUUUUUACAGGAUAGUCUGAGGUUCAAGGAGGAAAACUGGUCUGUCCAGUGAGUUCUAAUAACUAAGGCAGGGCCGGGGGGGAUUUAGCUCUGGAUGUCCCAGUAGGGUAGUCUAUCACGUUCCAGGGGUUUAAAGCAGGGGCUCUGACUUGGAUGGACCUGAGUUCAAAGUCUGGCUCAGCUUGAGAUUUGGCAAGUAUUUAAAGCUUCUGUUGGCCUCAGUUUCAUCAUUUGUAGAAUGGGGAUGAUAGUGAUCACCUCACAGGAUCAAUACAUGAGAUAAUGUGUGUCAGUGUCUGACAUGCAUUACAUUAGCACAUAAGCUCCCUGAAGGCAAGGGCUUGGUUUCACCUACUGCUGUAACCUCAGAGCCUAGAACAUGCCCUGCCCAGAGCAGCAGUCAAUAAAUACCUAUUGAGUGGAUGAAAGCAGCAUAUGGUUCUUACAUUAUUGCCCAGAGUAUUUUCUUAUGCAGCUUCAGUCCCCGUUUCUUUUCUUCUCCUGGACACCUUUGUCUGCCUACUCCUUGUAGCAGUGUGGAUUGUACAUGAACAUUCCUGCACACACACCCACACCUGCACGUCCCUGUGCUGCUCUGCUGCUGUCUGUCCUGUGUGUCUUCUCACCUGUAGGGGGAGAAGGGAACCAUGAGGUUGAAUCCAAUCCUUACUUUCCUACCCAACACCCCCUGCCCCACCCCCACCACUGCCAUCCCAUUGGGUGAUCACAUUCUUGCCCCUAUGUACCUGAAAUCCUGCCCCCCCCCCCCAUAAUAUCCUUGGUGUCGCCUAGCAAGCCAGGGGUGGUUUAAAAAAAAAAAAAAUCACCACCAGUUUUUGCUUUCCAAGGAGGGCUGUCCACUUAUUUUUGUUUUGUCUGAUUCAAAACGAACUGACGCAAUUCCCCUCUGCUCUGACAAAUAGGGACCCUCACCAAAGAAGGAAACAGAGCCAGAGUGAGAAGAGAGCAGGUCGGAGGCUUUCUGAAGACUUCUAUGGUUCCCAUUAGAGCACAGACAGCUGGACAGUUCUCUCCUGGGUUCAGGCCUGGAGUUUCAGGAAAACACAAAGACUCAGAGACGUGCCUUCAUUUGAGUCAUUUGGGUGGAGUUGCUGUUUUUAUCUGUGUUAUCUUCCCCAUUUCCCUCUGCUUCCGAGCUGGAAGCAGUGAGCAGAGAGUGGGAAUACCUACCCGCUUUCUCCUGCCUUUGGAGUCUAGGACACUGAGGCAAGAUACAGAGAAAACGCUACAGUUCCUCUCAAAUCCUGCUUUGUCCCCUUUCCACCCGCCUGCCCCCACCCCCUGCAUUUAGGGAUUUCAUUCAUUUUGAACUAGUGAUCAUCUUGAGGAGGAAAAUGCAGGAAACUGAUAGACUAGAUUAUAAUACAGUGUAAAUAACUCAACCCUGCAAAUUAACAUAGGCCCACAAGCCUGGACCUGAAAGAAGCAGACCACAAGCAGGGAAGAAUGUGUCUAAUAGUAGCAAAUAACCGUAACAACAAAUAAGGUCUAUGGUCUGCCAGGGACUGGAUUGGUGUGACCAAAAGACAAAUGGUAAAGUCUGUAGGGGUUGGGUGUUUGUUUGUGCACUCCCUUGAUGUGUAUGACCAAAGAACAGAUUCCGUUUGCUUUCACCUUCUUUUUAAUAACUGAACAAGGGUCUCCGUUUAUUAAAUUAAUGGAAAUGUUGGCUCUGUGCAGGUAAGUAGUUUCCAUCCUUUUGAGGUUGGCCUCCCCCUGUUUGAGCUCAGAUCUUACUAGGCACAGUGCCUGAUGCCAGUAAGUGUCCCGUACCCCUGCCACUGCCCACCAGCCAAGCAGAGAGGCCAGGCAGGGUGGUCCACCCAGUGGGGUUCCAGUGGGCUGAAGCAGGGGGCAAGGAACAACUCUUACCACAAUUAUGGGCGCUGGAUGUACCUACCCCAUUGAGAAUGCGCCAUGCACAUCAAGUUCAAUAAACUAAUGCAGAGGUCUAUUAUGAACUAAAUUCCAUGCCCUGCCCACCCCUAAUUUGUAGGUUGAAAUCCAAUCCCCAAUAUGAUGGUAUCAGGAGGUGGGGCCUUUGGAAGGUGAAUGGGUCAUGAGGAUGGAGCCCUCAUGAAUGGGAUUAGUGCCCUCAGAAAAAAAGACCUUGGAGAGCUCUCUCACCCCUCUGCCACAUGAAGACACAGGGAGAAGACAGCCAUCUUCAAAACAGGAAAAUGGGACCUCACCAGACACUGAAUCAGCUGGUCCUUUGGUUUUGGAUUUCCCAGCCUCCAGAACUGAGAAGUAACGGUUGCUUAAGCUACCCAGUCUAUGGUGGUGUUGUUAGAGCAGCUCCAACAGACUAAGACAGAGUCUCAGAGCAUUACAGGAGCGAGAAAGAGUCUGAGGUGGUCACGAGGGCUGGAGUGCGUAGCAGGGAGUCACAGAGCUGGGGAGGUUCUCCCCUAGCCUGGGACUUAACCCCAAGAAGCUUGCUUCUGCUUGGGCCACAGGAGCCACAUAAAAACCCUGCCUGCUCAUUAGUUCAGUGUCUACAGCUUGGUCUGCCCCAGACAUUGGCUCCCACUUGGUCCUGUUAGAAAUGAGCCCAUCAGCCCACUCAAAUGAGGGACACGGAAACUCAGCACAGUGAAGUGAGGCUUUAAUCAAUGUCUUGCGAGAGCAGGUGUCUGAUGGACAAGCACACUCAGGGCAGUUACAGCAGAUAAUUUAUCUCCUACCAUGAAAGUCCCUCCCCUGAUUCCUCAUUGGCUGAGAACUACAGAGGUUACAGACGUACCUGGAAGUUGUCUAUGCCCAUAUAAGGCAAAAAGUAGUUUGAUUGGAACAAGUGUACAUUCCCUGAGGUGACCCAGGGAUUUUCAGUCCCUCCUCCCUUUGUUCUUUUGCAUACGCUCAUCGCAAAUCCUGCAAAAAUAAGCCCACGAAAUGGAGAGGGGAAGAAGAACCAGGAAGUGAAGUGUCUAAAGGUUGGGGGCUCCAUUUUGGGGGGGGGGGGAGUUGUACAUUCUUCCAAUAGGUUGUAAACCUACUGUUAACUAGACAGCACGGCUUCUAUUUGGUAUUUCUGAAAAUGAAUCAUCUCCCUUACUUCUCACAGUCCCAGGCUGUCUCUCAGUUCAGCUUUCCAGGCUUGCCGUACCUGGGACUUGGCAGCCUGGUUCCAUUUCUGCUUCAUGACUGUCUUGGAAAUCCCAUAACCUCAGUCACCAACAAUUACCCUCUAAGCACCAAAAUCUACCUCAGACCCUACAUCCAACUCAAGUGUCUGGGACACCACAACAUGCCAGACUCCUAGUGGGGGUAGGGAGGGGGCUUGUGGGGAAGAAGGAGUGGAUCAAGAUGGGCAAGGAGGAGAAUGGUUUGGGUGAAUAUUAGGAAGAGAGUUAAAAAUACACUCCUGUGCCAUGUGGCAUGAGUGGGUUGGGUUCUUUAAAGGGCUACCAGAGUGAGAUUGAAACAUUAAAUUGAUUUCUAACACCCUUUGGCAUAAGCAGAGAGUCCCUGCUGUGAACCCCAAUGAUGUGGCCUCCAUCUGAUUCUUUUGGCUUUUAGGUGUGACCUCCAAGGAAUGACAGAAGGGAAUGAUUUUUGAGCUGAGAAGAAUGUAUUCAAACUCCAUGCAGUGUUGCGAAAGGUCUUUUUUUGUUAGCUCUGUUUUUGCUCUGAGAAGGUCUUUUUUUUUUUUUUUUCUUUUUACUUCUGGAGGUCUUGAUGCUUACAGCAAUCACCUGGCUUUUUCUGGUCUGGAAGUCGUAUCUGUCUCCUCACCAAGGGCCUUGCUUCCACUUCAUAACAUCCUCCAUUUCAACUCUCCAUACUUGUCAGCAGAGGAUACACACGUAGAAAACAAUCAGAUCUAUGAACCAAGCUAUCAAUAUUUGCCUUCCUGCCCCGUCAUGGGUCAUAGGCUCUGACGCAGAAGUGAUGCUGUAAGAGUCUGCCUGGUUACCCCACUCACCUCCCCAGAAAGUGCACGCUGGUCACUCAUGUUGAUCCAAACAGAAAACAGCCCUUUGACGUCACCCCAGCUUUGCCUCCUCUUUCUCCACAAGCCCAACCUUGGAAAAUUUCCUAUUCGGCUUUAAAAAAAAAUGAAUGAUAACCUGAAUGGAAACAGAGAUAGCCUAUUUAUCAGAAUUUCAUAUGAUACAAAAUGGAAUCACUAAAAAUAGGGUAAAGGUGUAAGGUUCCAAGUCAACCUCGACAGGACUCGACUUUUAACAAGAUGACAUUUACUAGUGGUCAAUGAAAAGUGCCCCCAAAAUAGCACAGCUAUAUAAUUUCAGAGUUUGAAAGAUAGAACUAACAGAGCUACACAUUGACCUGCAAGCUCAGUAGGAGUCAAGGGCACAACGUGACUCUCAAAAAACCUAAAGCAAGUUUAGGCUGCAUCAUCAGAAAUGUCAAGAACAAGAGAAGGAGGUGAUGAUCCCGUUCUUCUCGGCUCUGCUGGGCCACACCUGACGUGUUGUGUUUCCCUUCUGACACCACUCCAGGAUGAACACUGACAAAAACUAUCUUGUAUUAGAGGAGUGGAAACAGGAAGACAACGAAUCUGGAAACUAUAACAAGCGAGGACCAUGAAAGAACGAAGGAAGUUUAACGCCAAAGAGGAAAAAGAUUUAAGGGGGCCUGAAAGCUGUUUUUCAAGUAUGUUAACGACUAACCUGUACACAAGAGAUAAAGCUUCCCUGUCCCCAACUCUAGAGGACAAAGUAGGUCCUCUGAGUUGGGGAGCUAAAUUUCAGUCUGGCCUGAAGAAGAAUUUUCAUUCCCAACUGUGAGAAUUGUCCAAAACUAGGAUGGUCUGCCGGAUGAGGUAAUGAUUCCCCAUUACUUGAGGUAUUCAGGCAAAAGCUGGAGGUUCACAUAUGAGGGAUGCUAAAGAGAGAAUUGUCGAAUCCGUCCGAGGAGUAGUUCAGAUCCUUUCAAUUCACAGCCACUCUGACUCUAGGGAUUGUUAUUAUAAUUUAUUAUACUGUCCCCUACAUGAAAGUAUCAAAUUCCCUUUGUUAAUGCAAUAAAGCUGAUGAAUUUCGG
RNAcentral lists this long non-coding RNA (5601 nucleotides) under Lynx pardinus (Iberian lynx). The record is from RNAcentral. Lineage: Eukaryota; Metazoa; Chordata; Mammalia; Carnivora; Felidae.